AUAGAGACUCAGAGCUGCAUAUCAAUAAGCGGAGGAAAAGAAACUAACUAGGAUUCCCUCAGUAACGGCGAGUGAAGCGGGAAGAGCUCAAAUUUGAAAUCUUCAAGGUUUUACCUUGACGAAUUGUAGUUUAAAGAAGUGUUUUCUGUUAGGUGUUUAGGUAAAAAGUUCUUUGGAAUAGGACAUCAUAGAGGGUGAGAAUCCCGUAUUUGAUCCGUACUUUCCUAGCUACGUUGUGAUACACUUUCAAAGAGUCGGAUUGUUCGGGAAUGCAGUCCAAAAUGGGUGGUAAAUUUCAUCUAAAGCUAAAUAUUGGCGAGAGACCGAUAGCGAGCAAGUACCGUGAGGGAAAGAUGAAAAGAACUUUGAAAAGAGAGUUAAACAGUACGUGAAAUUGUCAAAAGGGAAGCGUUUGACACCAGUGUUGUUUUUCCGAAAAUCAAUUACGAAUGUUUUGUUUUUGAGGAGUUAUGACUUCAUCGGCUUGCUCCUUUCUUUAUGAAACUUUCUUAAUGCACUUUUCGGUUAACAAGUCAACAUCAAUUUCUUUUGUUGUAAAAGGGUAUGAGGAAGGUGGCUUUCUCUUCGGCGCAAGUGUUUAUAGCCUUUGACGCCUCUGCAAUCGGAGAGAUUGAGGUCUGCAGCGUAGAUCCUUCGGGGUUAGAUACAUUUGUGCUAAGUUAUAGUUUUUCAUAGACAACAUGUUGACUAUGAUUAAUCAUGUAGCUUACUCGCUUAUGCUAUUUUACCUACGCUUAGGAUGUUGAAGAUAUGCGCGACACG
This 783-nucleotide ribosomal RNA is filed under the name uncultured Neocallimastigales. RNAcentral's name for it is "partial large subunit ribosomal RNA". It matches the Rfam family "Eukaryotic large subunit ribosomal RNA", at positions 23 to 644 of the family's 3401-position model. Lineage: Eukaryota; Fungi; Neocallimastigomycota; Neocallimastigomycetes; Neocallimastigales. The record is from RNAcentral.